RNAcentral lists this ribosomal RNA (502 nucleotides) under uncultured bacterium. Its description in RNAcentral is "partial 16S ribosomal RNA". It matches the Rfam family "Bacterial small subunit ribosomal RNA", at positions 30 to 523 of the family's 1533-position model. The record is from RNAcentral.
AUUGAACGCUGGCGGAAUGCUUUACACAUGCAAGUCGAACGGCAGCACGGGUGCUUGCACCUGGUGGCGAGUGGCGAACGGGUGAGUAAUAUAUCGGAACGUAUCCAAUAAUGGGGGAUAACUAGCCGAGAGGUUAGCUAAUACCGCAUACGCCCUGAGGGGGAAAGCUGGGGAUCGUAAGACCUAGCGUUGAUGGAGCGGCCGAUAUCUGAUUAGCUAGUUGGUGGGGUAAGAGCCUACCAAGGCGACGAUCAGUAGCUGGUCUGAGAGGACGACCAGCCACACUGGAACUGAGACACGGUCCAGACUCCUACGGGAGGCAGCAGUGGGGAAUUUUGGACAAUGGGGGCAACCCUGAUCCAGCCAUUCCGCGUGAGUGAAGAAGGCCUUCGGGUUGUAAAGCUCUUUCGCAAGGGAAGAAAACUCGACCUCUAAUAUAGGUUGAGGCUGACGGUACCUUGAUAAGAAGCACCGGCUAACUACGUGCCAGCAGCCGCAGUAA